AUGGCAGAUGUGGCCUGUCUGGAGCUCCUGGGCUCCAGUCUUAUCAUCCUGUCCCAGCUGUUCAUGUAGGUGAAAGUGCUCAUCCAGGUGAGAGAUGAGCCUCUUCCUCCAACAAUAGGAUGAAAUAUUUUGGGGCGGCAAGUAUGUCAGCUUCCUGGGCUCUUUUGUUAUGCUCAGCACAUUGCAAGCAUUGAUGGGAAGCGUUGCUUGUUCACAGGCUUAACUCCAAGACUGUGUUCAGGAAUCCUUGGAACUGUGGUCCAUAAUCAAGUUUUACAGCGCUAUCAAGACCUGGACAAACCUGAGGAGUCAGGAAUUGGAAGUUUCCAUAGAGAAGGCUCAUGUUCUUUUGGCCAAAUUAUCAAAGAGACAACUCAAGAGAUGACCGCUCAUUCUACUGCUACCUCAUUUACACAUCCCUUCCGUGUGAUCACUCUGAGAUCUAUGAUACAAUUCAUUGGCAGAGAAUCGAAAUAUUGUGGACUGUGUGACUCCACGUUAACCAUCUAUCAGGAAGAGGUCAUACUGGGGUUUUUUGCGGGUCUCAUUCCUCGCCUUCUAGGUGACGUCAUUUCUCUGUGGCUCUGUAACUCCGUGGCCUACCUCAUCAACACCUAUGCACUGGACAGUGGGGUUUCUACCAUGAAUGAAAUGAAAAGUUAUUCCCAAGACGUCUCAGGAUUCUUUGCCGGUGUGUUGACCUAUCCCUUUGUGCUUGCAUCUAAUCUUAUGACUGUCAACAACCACAGGCUUGCUGGUGGAUCCCUUCCUUACUCUCCACUGUAUACUUUUUGGGUAGAUUGCUGGUACAUGCUGCAAAAAGAGGGAAAUAUGAGCCGAGGAAAUACCUUGUUUUUCCAGAAGGUCUCCUGUAGGAAGACUUAUUGUUAUGACCUGAGAAUGUUAAUUUGA
This is an RNA transcript of Dipodomys ordii (Ord's kangaroo rat), 912 nucleotides long. It is a transcript of the gene named mitochondrial carrier homolog 2 pseudogene, with no coding region annotated. Lineage: Eukaryota; Metazoa; Chordata; Mammalia; Rodentia; Heteromyidae. The record is from RefSeq and is a predicted model, not a curated record. The transcript has a single exon.